CUGUUCCGAUGCGCUCGCACUCCGCUCAGAUCUAGUUUCCUAGAUAGAUCGCAACGAUAAACUCUCGGCAGAGGCACACUUUGAAGUGCGUUCAGUGUAAAGGCUAUUGUUCUUUUUGCUCAGUUCAUACCUUUGGUGAAAAAGGUCUUAAAAAAAGUAUAUUUCAACCGUCGCCCGAAAUAGAAACCAUUAUGCCUCGAUCCGAUGCCGAUGAACUCCAGUGUAUAAGUGUUGGACGAAGUCACAGUAACCUACCCUUGUGAUUUGCUUCAACGUUAAAGAGUUCCAAUAUCCGUUGUGGGAACGGAGAUGCCUUAGCGGUCUCGUUCUUACAUCUGCUGCUGUUAUUGAACAUCAUCUCAAACCUCACCUGCACAAGUAGACCCCAUGUUUAGUACGCAAACCUUUCUUCUUGUUGAGCUGUUCGAUUCUGUCAAGUGUGUUCCUAUUUACGUCACAAGUGUUCCUAUUUACGUAUAUCGACACGUUUUCUCGUCAGUAAUAAUGCAGUAAUCCUACGAUUGACGGAGACGGUUAAAAUCAAUCAUACCAUAAUAGAAAAUAUGAUAAUCGUAGUUUCUAAACAAAACUCAUAUUAAUAUUGAGCAUUCUGUAC
Long non-coding RNA from Varroa destructor (honeybee mite), 616 nucleotides. RefSeq lists it as uncharacterized. The record is from RefSeq and is a predicted model, not a curated record. Lineage: Eukaryota; Metazoa; Arthropoda; Arachnida; Mesostigmata; Varroidae.